This is a long non-coding RNA of Aethina tumida (small hive beetle), 1040 nucleotides long. RefSeq lists it as uncharacterized. NCBI's taxonomy places the organism in Eukaryota, Metazoa, Arthropoda, Insecta, Coleoptera, Nitidulidae. The transcript is spliced from 4 exons. The record is from RefSeq and is a predicted model, not a curated record.
AUUAGUGGUACAUGUCGCAACGUUCCAACUAUGACAAAACAAGAAAUUUUGGAGUCGUGGGGAUGUACUGCGGAAGAAUUAACGUACGUGACACAAGAUGGCUUCGUACAAAAUAUGAUUAUUGCAUAUAAGGGUACCCAAAGAACCAGUAAAGCAGUAAUGUUGUUUUUGGGUAUAUUUACAUGUCGUUAUAGUUUCAUAUCGGUUGAAGAAAAUUCUCUUGGCAAGUACUCAUUUAGUAGUAACAAUCUAGAAUUAAGGGUUACACUAAUUUUAGCGUAUCCUUUAUUGCAAAACGGAUACACAGUUAUGUUACCGACGUACAGAAAUGCCGAACCAGAGUCAAGUACUAAUAUUUAUAUGGAUUCAAGUGACCCGAACUUUAAUAAUUACAGGUAUUGUGAUAAUUUUCGAUUUCGAUUCGAUUCAUUGAUACAAAUAUUUUAUAAUUAUAUAUGACAAUAUUGAGUUUCAGCUUAGAUACAAUAGCUCAGUAUGAUGUGAAAUCAGCUUUUGACCAAGUGAUUACAAUCAAUAAGCAAUUUAUUGUAAUAGCAUAUUCGAUGGGCUGUGCUGUCUCUUCUAUGUUUUUAAUUGACAAUCCCACAUAUCAGAAUAAUGUUCUUGGUAUGGUAUUUUGUGCGCCCGGUAUUUAUUUGCAGGGUUCUUCGUUAACCACCCUAUCAUAUACUGUUCCAGUUGCACAAAUAGCUUUGCAAGUUACGAGUAAUUGUGGAGUAAAUUUACCAUUUUCUGCUGGUACUUCCGAUUGUUUAACAAUGUUAGCCGAAGAGCAAGGAUUACAAACAAUAUUUGGACCAACUUCCCAAGUCGACUGGAGCACAGUUCCAUACAGUGAGACUUACAAUUAUGGCGGAACUUGUUGUACAGUUUUAAAACAUUAUAAUCAAAUUAUACAAUUCGUAGCUUUGAUUAAAUACAGAAAUGACCUAAAUUCUCCUCCAAACUAUUAUGAUCUGAAUAAAUUAAAUGUUAGUAUAACGAUAAUAUCUGGCACAACUGAUCAACUAGUUCCAAUA